This 520-nucleotide ribosomal RNA is filed under the name uncultured bacterium. Its description in RNAcentral is "bacterial SSU rRNA". It matches the Rfam family "Bacterial small subunit ribosomal RNA", at positions 777 to 1297 of the family's 1533-position model. The record is from RNAcentral.
AAUAGAUACCCAGGUAGUCCAUGCCGUAAACGAUGUCUACUAGCCGUUGGGGCCUUUGAGGCUUUAGUGGCGCAGCUAACGCGAUAAGUAGACCGCCUGGGGAGUACGGUCGCAAGACUAAAACUCAAAUGAAUUGACGGGGGCCCGCACAAGCGGUGGAGCAUGUGGUUUAAUUCGAUGCAACGCGAAGAACCUUACCUGGCCUUGACAUACUAGAAACUUUCCAGAGAUGGAUUGGUGCCUUCGGGAAUCUAGAUACAGGUGCUGCAUGGCUGUCGUCAGCUCGUGUCGUGAGAUGUUGGGUUAAGUCCCGCAACGAGCGCAACCCUUUUCCUUACUUGCCAGCAUUUCGGAUGGGAACUUUAAGGAUACUGCCAGUGACAAACUGGAGGAAGGCGGGGACGACGUCAAGUCAUCAUGGCCCUUACGGCCAGGGCUACACACGUGCUACAAUGGUCGGUACAAAGGGUUGCUACACAGCGAUGUGAUGCUAAUCUCAAAAAGCCGAUCGUAGUCCGGA